GACGAACGCUGGCGGCGUGCUUAACACAUGCAAGUCGAACGGAAAGGCCCUGCUUUUGUGGGGUGCUCGAGUGGCGAACGGGUGAGUAACACGUGAGUAACCUGCCCUUGACUUUUGGAUAACUUCAGGAAACUGGGGCUAAUACCGGAUAGGAGCUCCUGCUGCAUGGUGGGGGUUGGAAAGUUUCGGCGGUUGGGGAUGGACUCGCGGCUUAUCAGCUUGUUGGUGGGGUAGUGGCUUACCAAGGCUUUGACGGGUAGCCGGCCUGAGAGGGUGACCGGCCACAUGGGGACUGAGAUACGGCCCAGACUCCUACGGGAGGCAGCAGUGGGGAAUAUUGCACAAUGGGCGGAAGCCUGAUGCAGCAACGCCGCGUGCGGGAUGACGGCCUUCGGGUUGUAAACCGCUUUCGCCUGUGACGAAGCGUGAGUGACGGUAAUGGGUAAAGAAGCACCGGCUAACUACGUG
Molecule: ribosomal RNA, 468 nt
Filed under: uncultured bacterium
Lineage: Bacteria
Description: partial 16S ribosomal RNA
Rfam family: Bacterial small subunit ribosomal RNA
Source: RNAcentral